Molecule: long non-coding RNA, 224 nt
Organism: Dermacentor andersoni
Lineage: Eukaryota; Metazoa; Arthropoda; Arachnida; Ixodida; Ixodidae
Source: RefSeq, a predicted model, not a curated record
UCCAUCGAGAAACAAAUCAACGAUUCGUGUACCAGCGGCGCGCCAGCGGGAAGGUUUCGUGAACGUCGGCUGCGGCGGUGUUUUCAUGUGUGAGACAGACCGUGCUGAUGCCAUGCCGUCCGGCGGUCCAAGCUACGGCAGCCACUGCUGUGUGUCGUGGUGCUUUGACAACGGCAGAACCCAGAAGAAGCCUAUCUUGCCUUGGAAUAAAAACAUUGCGGAAA